Molecule: long non-coding RNA, 509 nt
Filed under: Mytilus galloprovincialis (Mediterranean mussel)
Lineage: Eukaryota; Metazoa; Mollusca; Bivalvia; Mytilida; Mytilidae
Source: RNAcentral
UUGAGGUGCUACCUUACACUACAAGAAGAUAACUCUGAAAAAUCAGGUAAACGUUUUAAUUACAUUGUGUUGGAAUAUUAAGCUUCUCGGUGAUCAAAAAAAGGGUUUUCAAACUACUAUAUAACCAGUGUAAUUUUUUUUAUAAAAUGGUUAAUUCAAAUUUUUGGAAAAUUUUAUAUUUUUAUCAAAGAGUCAAAGUAAAAACUUCAAAUGUCAAAAUUUUAUGAAAAUUAGACGAGCCAAAUUAAUUUUAGUGAAGGUGAUGGGUACCUUCGGGCUAAGUGUUAGACAUUGGGCGUUAUUUGGAUUUUUAUAUUAGGUAUGCAUUUCUAACUAUAUGAACUGCAUCUGAAUAUCAAAAUUUGAUGGAUGUUGCUUUUACACUUCCAGGGUCAGUGUCAAUUACAAAAUAAAUUUUGUGGAAUAGGAUUAAUAUAAAAAGCAUGGGGAAAUAUGACCUAUUUUUUACAUUUUAAAUUUCGAUUUCAUCAAAAUCAGAAAAAUCUCCA